UAAACUACCAUUUUUUUAGAGUAAAAAGUA
RNAcentral lists this non-coding RNA (30 nucleotides) under Mus musculus (house mouse). Lineage: Eukaryota; Metazoa; Chordata; Mammalia; Rodentia; Muridae. The record is from RNAcentral.